RNAcentral lists this ribosomal RNA (484 nucleotides) under uncultured bacterium. Its description in RNAcentral is "partial 16S ribosomal RNA". It matches the Rfam family "Bacterial small subunit ribosomal RNA", at positions 30 to 507 of the family's 1533-position model. The record is from RNAcentral.
AUUGAACGCUGGCGGCAGGCUUAACACAUGCAAGUCGAGCGGAUGAAGGGAGCUUGCUCCUGGAUUCCGCGGCGGACGGGUGAGUAAUGCCUAGGAAUCUGCCUGGUAGUGGGGGAUAACGUCCGGAAACGGGCGCUACUACCGCAUACGUCCUGAGGGUGCAAGUGGGGGAUGUUCGGACCUCACGCUAUCAGAUGAGCCUAGGCCGGAUUAGCUAGUUGGUGGGGUAAAGGCUUACCAAGGCGACGAUCGGUAAGUGGUCUGAGAGAAUGAUCAGUCACACUGGAGCGGGAACACGGACCAGACGCCUACGGUAGGCAGCAGUGGGGUAUGUUGGACAGUAGGCGAAAGCCUGAUCCAACCAUGCCGCGUGUGUGAAGGAAGUCUUCGGAUUGGAAAGCACUUUAAGGUGUGAGGAAGCGCAUUAAGUUAAUACCUUGCUGUUUUGACGUUACCAACAGAAUAAGCACCGGCUAACUACGUG